GGAAAGAUGGCAGAGUGGUCGAUUGCGGCGGUCUUGAAAACCGUUGACCUGCAAGGGUCCGGGGGUUCGAAUCCCUCUCUUUCCGCCA
RNAcentral lists this transfer RNA (88 nucleotides) under Lentimicrobium saccharophilum. RNAcentral's name for it is "tRNA-Ser". It matches the Rfam family "tRNA". From Rfam's summary of the family: Transfer RNA (tRNA) molecules are approximately 80 nucleotides in length. The record is from RNAcentral. RNAcentral also lists the same sequence under 7 other names. Lineage: Bacteria; Pseudomonadati; Bacteroidota; Bacteroidia; Bacteroidales; Lentimicrobiaceae.